Molecule: long non-coding RNA, 334 nt
Filed under: Fukomys damarensis (Damara mole-rat)
Lineage: Eukaryota; Metazoa; Chordata; Mammalia; Rodentia; Bathyergidae
Description: lncRNA (ENSFDAG00000030353.1)
Source: RNAcentral
GCAACACAAGGCUGACCUUCAGCUGCUCUUGGCUCUCAUCGCCCAUGUCAGGACCACCCCCCUUGGAAAGGCCGUUUGCAGCACAGGACCGGUCAGGCUGCCUGGCUCUGUCCCUCCUGCGUGCUGCUGCCUCAUCGCCUGGUUGUUGCCAUUUUGCGGUGAGUGAGGAAGCUGGGAGUGGCAGCACACACCUGUAAACCCAGCACUGGGAAGACUGAGGCAAGAGGAUUGCCACAAGUUUGAGGUCACCCUGGGCUACGUAGUGAGUUCAGGUUUAGCCUGAACUAUGUAGGAAGACCUUGUCUCAACAAAAGUCAACACAUUUUAAUAAAGG